GCUGAGAGGCCUGUGAGAGGUUCUGGGGCGCCACCGCAGUCAUUCUGUUCAGCGGGUUUAGGACUUUCAUUCAUAGGACUGUCCUUGAUUCCUAGCCAUCACUGGGAGGCUCUACCUUCAAGUGUUAUCCAGAAUCAGACCACCUCACCUCAUCUACUGCGGCCUCCCUGGGACGGGCCUGGCCUCCUUCAGUCUGUUCUCACCACAAAGCCACCAGAAGGAUCCUUUUAUUUUGAUUGAUUGAUUGAUUGAUAUGGGGUCUGACUCUGUCAGCAGGCUGGAGUGCAAUGGCACGAUGUCACCUCACUGCAAGCUCUGCUUCCUGGACUCGAGCAAUCCUCCCACCACUGCCUCCCGAGUACCUGGGACCACAGGUGCACACCACCAUGCCCAGUUAAUCUUUUUGUAUUUUUGGUAGAGAUGGGGUUUCACCAUUUUGCCCAGGAUGGUCUCAAACUCUUAAGCUCAAGCAAUCUACCCACCUCAGCUUCCCACAGUGCUGGGAUUACAGGCGUGGGACACCACGCCCAGCGCCUUUUAAAAGCGCAGUUGGAUCAUAGCAUUUAUCUGCUCAUAACAAUGGCUUUUGCUUCCCCGCUCACUCAAAAGAAAAGUCCUUCUUCACUGCAGAACUGUCCCUCCUACCACAGGAUGUUUAGGGUUCCUGGCUGGAACCCCCAAAGGUCCUAAUGGUGCUGGUCAUGGGGGGAUCCACACCAUUGUGACAACGAAAUAUGCC
Molecule: non-coding RNA, 739 nt
Filed under: Pongo abelii (Sumatran orangutan)
Lineage: Eukaryota; Metazoa; Chordata; Mammalia; Primates; Hominidae
Source: RNAcentral